GGGGAGGGACUGCCGGCCUUGGGGCCUCGCAAGCCGAGCUCUGCCUCCAGAGAGGAGGAGGAGGAGGAGGAAGAGGAGGAGGAGGAGGAUGGGUCCGUCCCCCCAGCGCUUGCCAGGCUCCGUGUCCCGCUCAGCACCGGCACCAUCAUCCUCAUCCUCAGCGCAUGGGAAUGAAGGAGCAGAAUCUGGGCUGCCAGGUCAGCAAAGGGGGAUUUAAUCUCUGGGGCAGAUGAAGAAGCUCCGAAGAUUUUGAAGAAGCUCUGAAGAUUUUGAAGAAGCUCUGAAGAUAUUGAAGAAGCUCUGAAGACAUUGAAGAAGCUCUGAAGACAUUGAAGAGGCUCUGAAGAGACUGAAGCAGCUGAAGAGAUUCCUCUUUGCUGUCGACAGUCCCGGGGAGGAUUCUCCAGCAUGCCAGGCGACAGGAAUAAUUGGAAUAGUCAGAAAGUCUGGUGGUAGCAUGACCCAAGAGAGGGGAAGGAGGAUGAGGAGCUGGAGGCUCCCGAGGCUCCGUCAGCCAGGAAGAGCCGAGGCUCAGGAGCAGCAGGAGCAGGGUGGGCGUGGGGAGUGGUGUUUCACUUCUUCCUGG
RNAcentral lists this long non-coding RNA (586 nucleotides) under Camarhynchus parvulus. Its description in RNAcentral is "lncRNA (ENSCPVG00000003781.2)". Lineage: Eukaryota; Metazoa; Chordata; Aves; Passeriformes; Thraupidae. The record is from RNAcentral.